Molecule: ribosomal RNA, 253 nt
Filed under: uncultured bacterium
Lineage: Bacteria
Description: partial 16S ribosomal RNA
Rfam family: Bacterial small subunit ribosomal RNA
Source: RNAcentral
UACGUAGGGACCGAGCGUUGUCCGGAAUCAUUGGGCGUAAAGAGCGUGUAGGCGGCUUGCUAAGUCUUGCGUGAAAUCUCGGGGCUCAACCCCGAGCGGUCGUGGGAAACUGGCAGGCUAGAGUGCGGGAGAGGAGAAUGGAAUUCCUGGUGUAGCGGUGAAAUGCGCAGAUAUCAGGAAGAACACCCGUGGCGAAGACGGUUCUCUGGAACGCAACUGACGCUGAGACGCGAAAGCGUGGGGAGCAAACAGG